CAUUAAGAAGCUAUACAGCACCAGCCUUUUAAGCCGGAGACGGCGACACUACCCCGCCCUUAAUGA
This 66-nucleotide transfer RNA is filed under the name Iphisa elegans. RNAcentral describes it as "tRNA-Lys". Lineage: Eukaryota; Metazoa; Chordata; Lepidosauria; Squamata; Gymnophthalmidae. The record is from RNAcentral.